RNAcentral lists this ribosomal RNA (274 nucleotides) under uncultured bacterium. RNAcentral's name for it is "partial 16S ribosomal RNA". It matches the Rfam family "Bacterial small subunit ribosomal RNA", at positions 523 to 796 of the family's 1533-position model. The record is from RNAcentral.
AUACUGAGGGUGCAAGCGUUAAUCGGAAUUACUGGGCGUAAAGCGCGCGUAGGCGGUUGGAUAAGUCGGAUGUGAAAGCCCCGGGCUCAACCUGGGAAUUGCAUUCGAAACUGUCCGGCUAGAGUAUGGUAGAGGGAAGCGGAAUUCCACAUGUAGCGGUGAAAUGCGUAGAUAUGUGGAGGAACACCAGUGGCGAAGGCGGCUUCCUGGACCAAUACUGACGCUGAGGUGCGAAAGCGUGGGGAGCAAACAGGAUUAGAAACCCUUGUAGUCC